This 215-nucleotide ribosomal RNA is filed under the name uncultured bacterium. Its description in RNAcentral is "partial 16S ribosomal RNA". It matches the Rfam family "Bacterial small subunit ribosomal RNA", at positions 524 to 730 of the family's 1533-position model. The record is from RNAcentral.
GACGUAGGGCGCGAGCGUUGUCCGGAUUUAUUGGGCGUAAAGAGCUCGUAGGCGGCUUGUCACGUCGAAUGUGAAAACUUGGGGCUCAACUCCAAGCUUGCAUUCGAUACGGGCAGGCUAGAGUUCGGUAGGGGAGACUGGAAUUCCGUGGUGUAGCGGUGAAAUGCGCAGAGUAUCAGGAGGAACGAGCCGGUGGCGAAAGGGCGGGGUCCUCC